GGGGUCGUGGGGUAGCCUGGUCUAUCCUGCUGGCUUUGGGGCGUUAGACCAGCGCAAAAAAGCCAGUGACUCGAGUUCAAAUCUCGGCGACCCCACCA
Molecule: transfer RNA, 98 nt
Filed under: Hadesarchaea archaeon
Lineage: Archaea; Methanobacteriati; Hadarchaeota (SeqCode); Hadarchaeia (SeqCode)
Description: tRNA-Pro
Rfam family: tRNA
About the family: Transfer RNA (tRNA) molecules are approximately 80 nucleotides in length. Their secondary structure includes four short double-helical elements and three loops (D, anti-codon, and T loops).
Source: RNAcentral